CAGCAGCCGCGGUAAUACGUAGGGGGCGAGCGUUAUCCGGAAUUACUGGGCGUAAAGAGUAUGUAGGUGGUUAAGUAAGCGUAGGGUUUAAGGCGACAGCCCAACUGUCGUAUGCCCCGCGAACUGUUUAACUUGAGUACAGGAGGGGAAGGCGGAAUUCCUAGUGUAGCGGUGAAAUGCGUAGAUAUUAGGAGGAACACCAGUGGCGAAGGCGGCCUUCUGGACUGUAACUGACACUGAGAUACGAAAGCGUGGGUAGCAAACAGGAUUAGAUACCCUGGUAGUCCACGCCGUAAACGAUGAGCACUAGGUGUCGGGCUCGCAAGAGUUCGGUGCCGGAGCAAACGCAUUAAGUGCUCCGCCUGGGGAGUACGCACGCAAGUGUGAAACUCAAAGGAAUUGACGGGGACCCGCACAAGCAGCGGAGCAUGUGGUUUAAUUCGAAGCAACGCGAAGAACCUUACCAGGACUUGACAUCCCACUGAAAGCUCGGUUAAAACUGAGCCCUUCUUCGGAACAGUGGAGACAGGUGGUGCAUGGUUGUCGUCAGCUCGUGUCGUGAGAUGUUGGGUUAAGUCCCGCAACGAGCGCAACCCUUGCCGUUAGUUGCCAUCAUUAAGUUGGGCACUCUAAUGGGACUGCCGGGGAGAACCCGGAGGAAGGCGGGGAUGACGUCAAAUCAUCAUGCCCCUUAUGUUCUGGGCUACACACGUGCUACAAUGGCCGUCACAGAGGGAAGCGAGAGAGCGAUCUUAAGCGAAACCAAAAAGGCGGUCCCAGUUCGGACUGCAGGCUGCAACUCGCCUGCACGAAGCCGGAGUUGCUAGUAAUCGCGGAUCAGAAUGUCGCGGUGAAUGCGUUCCCGGGUCUUGUACACACCGCCCGUCACACCAUGGAAGUUGGGGGUGCCCAAAGUCGGUCAAGAAGAGGUCGCCUAAGGCA
This 942-nucleotide ribosomal RNA is filed under the name uncultured bacterium. RNAcentral's name for it is "bacterial SSU rRNA". It matches the Rfam family "Bacterial small subunit ribosomal RNA", at positions 509 to 1464 of the family's 1533-position model. The record is from RNAcentral.